RNAcentral lists this ribosomal RNA (323 nucleotides) under uncultured eukaryote. Its description in RNAcentral is "partial 18S ribosomal RNA". It matches the Rfam family "Eukaryotic small subunit ribosomal RNA", at positions 1470 to 1796 of the family's 1831-position model. The record is from RNAcentral.
CCCUUAGAUGUUCUGGGCUGCACGCGUGCUACACUGAUAUUGCCAAUAUGUCAUUCUUAUCCGAAAUGGAUUGGGUAAUCAAGUAAUGAAAUUUCAUGCUUGGAAUCGGUAAUUGCAAUUUUAUCGUGAACGAGGAAUUCCUAGUAAGCACUAGUCAUCAGCUAAUGUUGAUUAUGUUCCUGCCCUUUGUACACACCGCCCGUCGCUACUACUGAUUGGGUGUUCAAGUGAGAUGCUUAGACCCUUGUUGCAUGGUUCAUUAUUGUGCUCCGAAAGGAAAAAGUUUCAAGCUUGAGUGUCUAGAGGAAGUAAAAGUCGUAACA